This 546-nucleotide ribosomal RNA is filed under the name uncultured bacterium. RNAcentral describes it as "bacterial SSU rRNA". It matches the Rfam family "Bacterial small subunit ribosomal RNA", at positions 355 to 893 of the family's 1533-position model. The record is from RNAcentral.
UAGGGAAUCUUCCACAAUGGGCGAAAGCCUGAUGGAGCAACGCCGCGUGUGUGAUGAAGGCUUUAGGGUCGUAAAGCACUGUUGUAUGGGAAGAAAUGCUAGAAUAGGGAAUGAUUCUAGUUCGACGGUACCAUACCAGAAAGGGACGGCUAAAUACGUGCCAGCAGCCGCGGUAAUACGUAUGUCCCGAGCGUUAUCCGGAUUUAUUGGGCGUAAAGCGAGCGCAGACGGUUGAUUAAGUCUGAUGUGAAAGCCCGGAGCUCAACUCCGGAAUGGCAUUGGAAACUGGUUAACUUGAGUGUUGUAGAGGUAAGUGGAACUCCAUGUGUAGCGGUGGAAUGCGUAGAUAUAUGGAAGAACACCAGUGGCGAAGGCGGCUUACUGGACAACAACUGACGUUGAGGCUCGAAAGUGUGGGUAGCAAACAGGANUAGAUACCCUGGUAGUCCACACCGUANCGAUGAAUACUAGGUGUUAGGAGGNUUCCGCCUCUUANUGNCNAANCUAACGCAUUAANUANUCCACCUGGGGAGUACNACCGCAAGG